UCAAUCUGGGGUUUCCAAAAGCCUUUGCGAACUCCACAAACUUGAAUGCUUGAAGCUGGUGAAUGAGAGCAAGCCCUCACGGAUGGUCCUGUCUGAAUACCAAUUUCCUCCAAGUCUGAUCCAACUGAGCUUAUCAAAUACUGAGCUAAUGGAGGAUCCCAUGCCAAUACUGGAAAAGCUUCCACGCCUUCAAGUGCUGAAACUGAAGCGGAACUCGUAUUUAGGAAGAAAGUUGGCCUGCGUUGGCUCUGGUGGCUUUCCGGAACUUAAGGUUUUGCACCUGAAAUCAAUGUAUUGGCUAGAUGAGUGGACGAUGGGGGCUGGAGCAAUGCCAAAACUUGAAAGCUUAACUGUCAACCCAUGUGCUUACUUGAGAAAGCUUCCAGAAGAGCUGUGGUGCAUAAAGAGCUUGCGCAAAUUGGAUUUACAUUGGCCUCAGACAGAGUUGAGACAAAGACUACGGACUUUCGAGGAUAUGGAGUGGCGGUAUGACAUCCAGUUAUAUCCUUAUGGAAUCUGAUGGAUUGAAUUGGGUGAGUUUUAAUCAUGUCUGAUAACUCAUACUUUUAAAUGCAUUUUCUUUUUUUCCCACUUUCUCAGUAGAUUUAUGUUUAUCGUAAAACGUACAAGGAGGUCAUAAAAAUCCCAAACCAAUUGAGGUUGCUUCUGAUGUCAAAAUUAUGUCUCAACGUAGACUAAGCUUGAGUGGCAAAACAGAGUGGGAUAGCCACAAAUUGCAGCAGAGAAACAAAAAAGAUCCCUUUAUAUCUAUCUAAUAAGAACUGUAAAAGCAGAUUUUAAUUUAUGAUUCUCAUUUCCCUUCACUUAUGUGGGCAAAACUGGAGAGGGAAACAACACCAGCCGGACUUUCAAUCUCAAUUUUAAUUCGGCUUUGAUUCAUGAGACAGGGCAUUGUUUAUUUAGCAGAUUUCAAGGAUUUGCUAUAAAUAUGCCAUGGUUGCAAUAUUGUCCACAAACUUGAACAGUUGCACUCCUUUUUCUAUUUUGAAUUUGCUGGUAUGUGUGUGUGUGUUCUGUUUUAAUCAAUGUUUUCUGCUUAGACUUCACUGAAAUAUUUUCAUUCAAUCAAUUUACAACCUUCUUCCAUAUGUUUUCAUAUUUUAACAUGUUGAAUGAUAAUCUCACUAUCAACACCGUAAAAAAUACAUAAUUUUUUAUGUAUAUAAUUAGGUUAUCAUUUCUAAUAGAACAUCUUGAGCAGUUAGCUUCAAAAAAUUAAGCAAACUAUUGUCUGAUGUUUAAGAUAUUUUUAAGUAAUUUUAUCAACUAGAAAUUCAUCACCCAAUUAACAAAAAAUGACACAAUAUUGGUCAAUGACACAUAGCAUUAGGAUUUAAGUUGGAACUCAAUUGUUGGGAUCUCUAAUAUUCUUGAACAUGAUUUAAUGAUCAAAUUCAAAUCUUGAACUAAUGACCAUGAAUGAAAGAAUAUCACGAAAGGUGUUAAGAUGCACGUGGAUAUUGGUAUUAGCGAUUAUGUUUAGGCUAUUUACACAUCUAAACAAUAAUUGUCACUAUUUUCUGUCACUAAUUUUCCAAAACUAAUUUUUGCAAAAAGUCAUCAUAUUUUUGCAUUAAAUCAAUUUAAGAAAAUUUUCCUUUAAUCGAGAAAAUUGAUUUAGUCACCAUUAAUUUUGUCGGGGUAAGAUAAAGUAUGGGUAGCUGCUGCAUACAUGUUCUUUUUAAAUGGUAGGAAUUUUCUCUAAAUGUUAAAUCAAGUUUUUUGAGAAUACGGAGUAAUAAUAAUAUCACCACGAAUAUAGAUGAUACUCUAUGGCAUGGCCACCUGAUCAAAAGAAAGAUUUUAUUGUUAAAUGACUUCUUAAAUGAUUAUAAAUUGAAAAUAUUUUUUACGUUAUAACUUAACUUAUUGCGAGAUUUAUCUUACUUAAGAAAUAGAUUGUAAAAUAAUUAAUUUUUCUAAUUUAUGAUUCUUUGUAAUAAUUAUUAUAUAUUUUAUAUUAUUAAUAAUAUUAUACAUGAGUUUUUUUUUAACAAGUUGAUGGCUCACCCUUCAUCUCCAACAUUAUUUAAUUUUAAUCGACUUGUUCGUAGUGCAGAUGUGGAAUGGAGAUCUAUAAGAAGAGCCGGGGCUGCAGACACCAGAAGAAUUAAAAGAAUCUCGUUUGAAAAGCAUCGAAAAUGAAUAUAGUGGGAAAAUCAAGAUAAGCUAAUAGUUUUCUGUUUCUGCAUCUCUCUUACCGUCUCUGUUAUAUUUGCUUUUAACAACUCAAAUAUUUAGGAUUUAUUUACCAAUUGUUAUUCUACGUCACAAAUACUCUGUUUUUUUUUUCUUUUUUCUUUAAUCGCUCUGUUUUAUACUUUUGACAUAUCUUUUAGGUCUAUAGUCUACCAAAUAAUCAUAAUUAAAGCAUAUAAAAUGUAUUUCUAAUUUCAGAAGGCAUCUAGGACUUUAUUCUCUGCUUUACUUCUAAAUUAAUUAGCCAAAGGAAGUUUGGCUUUCAGCAGAGCACUUUAUCCUUAAUGUUCACUGUCUCCAUCACACUAUAAUUGAAAAAAAAAAAAGGGCUAAAGUAGUGACAGUUCACAGUUGUAAUGCAUAUUCACUUUAACAAUUGCGAGGGAGUGAGGAUUGUAAAUUUACUUUCUAUCUAUUUAUUCUUUUGGCACAUGUGAAUAAAAUAUAUAUUUCAGGAAAUUGAAUUGUAUGAUUUUCAUGAUAACUCUUAUGCUGCGUUUACUAAACUGAAAUCGGAAUGAGCUAGAAUCGGAAUGGGCAGAAAUGAGAAUGGACAGAAAUGAGAAUGGGCUGGAAUGGGAAAAGGUAAUGGGAAUCAAAAUAAGUUGUUUACUUGAACUGUAGGAAUCGAAAUCGGAAUGAGCUAAAUUGCCAUUAAUGUGUUUACUUUGUCUUGAAAUCGGAAUCGGAAUGAAUUAGAUUGUAACAAAUUACUAAAAAGUACUUAAUGGAUUAUUGUCAUAAUUAUUAUUAACUAAUAUAUUAAUUAAUUGUAAAAAAAAUUUAAUUAAUUAUAAUAACUAUAUUAAAAAUUAUUAUAAAAAUAUAUUAACUAAUAAUAUUAAUAUUAAUUACUUAAUUAAAAUAAUAUAUUAAUUAUUGUGAUUAUUUAUUCAAAAAUUAUAAUUAUUAAUAAUUUUUUAAUAAUAUAUUACUGCUGUACCGUACAUCCGCCUUGGCCGUACAGCAGGUCACCCUACAGAAUUCGAUUUUUACCUCAACAGCCAUGCAGGAAUUCAGGUUUAAAAAAAAAAAUUUAAAUUUGCUCUUUCAAUCCAGUUAAAAACAAAAAAAAACAAAAAAUUAAACAAUGUCCCCCCCCCCCCCCCNNNNNNNNNNNNNNNNNNNNNNNNNNNNNNNNNNNNNNNNNNNNNNNNNNNNNNNNNNNNNNNNNNNNNNNNNNNNNNNNNNNNNNNNNNNNNNNNNNNNNNNNNNNNNNNNNNNNNNNNNNNNNNNNNNNNNNNNNNNNNNNNNNNNNNNNNNNNNNNNNNNNNNNNNNNNNNNNNNNNNNNNNNNNNNNNNNNNNNNNNNNNNNNNNNNNNNNNNNNNNNNNNNNNNNNNNNNNNNNNNNNNNNNNNNNNNNNNNNNNNNNNNNNNNNNNNNNNNNNNNNNNNNNNNNNNNNNNNNNNNNNNNNNNNNNNNNNNNNNNNNNNNNNNNNNNNNNNNNNNNNNNNNNNNNNNNNNNNNNNNNNNNNNNNNNNNNNNNNNNNNNNNNNNNNNNNNNNNNNNNNNNNNNNNNNNNNNNUACGGUACAGCAGAAUUAUUGUGAUUAUUUAGUCAAAAAAUAUAAUUAUUAAUAUAUUAUUGUUAAUAAUAUAUUAAUAUAUUAAUUAAUAGUAAUAAUUAUAUUAAUUCAUUAAUAAUAAUAAUAAUAAUAUAUAAAUUAAUUAUAUUAAUAAUUAUUAUAAUAGUAUAUUAAUUAAUUAAUUAAUUAAUUAAAAUAACAAUAAUAAUAAUAAAUUAAUUAUUGUGAUUAUUUAUUCAAGAACUAUAAUUUUUAAUAAUUAUAGUUAAUAAAAUAUUUAUAUAUUAAUUAAGUAAUUAUAAUAUUAUAUUAAUUAAUUAUAAAAGAGGACAAAGUAGGCAUUUUUAAUUUUGAGGGAGGGCAAAAUGGUCAAUCCAGGGAAUGGGAGACUCAUUCCCACCUUCUCCCAUGAGAAUCAAUCUCCCAUUCCCAAAUAGUGGUGGGCCCCACCAUUCCAAUUCUGAUUCCUGCUCCAUAUUUGCAAAGUAAACAUCAUCAAUCAUUCCGAUUCUAGAUUCCAAUUCCUCAAUCCGGCAAGUAAACGCAAUAUUAAAUGCACACAUCCACAUCUUUCUAUUUUCAAAAUGGUAAUGGAAAACUGUGUUAUUCUCUCUUAACAUUACACUAAUUCUUUGUAAGACUUUAGUGGUAAUAUCGAAAUAAAGUUACCUUUUAUAAAAAGAGAGGGAGGACCAACUUCUUUUAUAACUAAAAUACCUAAAAUGUAUAAAUAUAUCGAGUAUGGACUUAAUAAGAAAUCAUGUGAGACAUUAAGGAUAUGUUUGGUACCUUUUUUGGCAAACUGUUUUUCGUUUUACAAACAAAAAAUACAAAAUUGAAUAGUUCUUGGUUUUCCCUAGAGAACGUUAAAUUGACGUUUCUGUUAUCUUAUUUCUCAUCGGAUUCCCUCAAAAGUAAAAUGAAUUAUCGAAAAAAACAAGACACCUAUACCUCUAGGAUUUGGACAAAUUGUCAUACAGAUCCUCAAAUUUUCAAAAAGAAAUGCCAAAACUUUUUUUUAACCAUAAUACCUUUUCAAUAUAGUAAUUAAAAAUUGAACUUUAAAAGUUUUAAUUUAUACAAAUAUAAUAUAAGUAAUAUAACCUGUGUAGUAGACUAAUAGCAUUCAAGUAUUUUUAAUAUUUAAAAUAAUAUUAAAAUUUUAAAUUAUGAUAUUUAUUUUGUUUUUAUAUUUUUAUUUAUUAUAACAAUUUUAAAUAAACCUUUGGGUUAAAAAGAUUUUACAAUAAACAAAAUAUCUUCCUAUUAAUAAUAUUAAAAUUAUUUUUUAUGAUAUUCAAAAUAAUUUAAACUUUAAUUGAUUUAUUGUAAUGUUAUGUUUCCAUUUAUUAUUAAAAUUACUUUAAUAUGAUAAAAUAUGUAUAACUGACUGUAAAAUAUAAAAACAGUAUCUUGCUUGUCAACAAAUUUUUUUUUUUUUUACUCGAAAGCAAAAAUAAAAUUAUGCCAAUAUCAAUUCUUUGACAGAACAACCUUAGCUUUCUAAUGUUUAAUACUACUCUUUCCAUGCCCAAAAAGCGCUGAUGACAAUCAGGAGAAUCACUUAAUUAACGUAAUGAAAUAGCAACGUAGUUUAGAUCUACAAUGCCACUUGCCAUAUGAAAAUGUAUAUAAUCAUAAUUAAUUAGCGAAAAGGACGUUGUAAUGAUCUGAGUGAGUUGUGCAUCAAUGUGAUUGUGAUCAGGUGACGCUCUUCUUUAAUAGUCAAUUCAGCUACGUUCUCUUAUCCUUUAUUUUUUUUUUCACCCACAAUUACUUCACUGAGAUUGGAUCAAUAAUGCCUCAGCGAAUUCAUUAACAGGAAGACUGUAGGAACUGUAAGGUAAAGAAAUUUAUACUAAUACGCUACAACGGAGAAACAAAUAAAGAAAUUCUCAAAAAAGAACUAACACUAUCUUACAUUCAACUGUUGAUGCAACCAUUGGAGUUACAUCAAUAAUUGGAGUAGUCCAGAUAGGAUUGCUAAUGCUCAAAACAAGUGGCUCUUAGAAAGAAUAGACAAUGACCAGUAAUGAACAUAACUCAAUGGGUCCACUUCAAAAAGCAACUGUUCAAUUUCCAUCAACUUGUUUAAUAGGGUAGAUGUGGGAUGGAGAUUUCUAAAGAUUUUAAAUAAACCUUUAGGUUAAAAAGAUUUUAAAAUUAACAAAAUGUCUUUCUAUUAAUAAUAUUAAAAUUAUUUUUUUAUAAUAUUCAAAAUAAUUUAAACUUUACUUUAUUUAUUGCAAUAUUAUGUGUCUAUUUAUUAUUAAAAUUACUUUAAUAUGAUCAAAUAUAUAUGUAUAAUAAAUUGUAAAAUACAAAAAUAUUUUCUUUGUCAACAAAUAUUUUUUUCCUGUAAAAUACAAAAAUAUUUUCUUGCUUGUCAACAAAUAUUUUUUUCCUCCAAAGCCAAAAUAAAAUUAUGUCAAUAUCAAUUCUUUAACAUAACAACCUUAGCUUUCUGAAGUCUAAUACUACUCUUUCCAUGCCCAAAAAUUCAAAAUUUUUUAAUUAAUCUUGUUACUGGGCUUGCGGCAGUUAUGCUAUUGAAGGCAAUUUGAUAUUAAAAUAUUUUUUAAUGAAAAAUUCUUUAAAUUAAAAAAGAAACAAUCGAUUUAACCACCAUCAAUCAUGUAAAAAAGAAACAAUUGAUUUAGUAAAGGUUGGAUAUCUAUUGGAUACCUCUUCUUUUCAAAAGGCAAGCGUCUUGGACUUUUCGCUAAAUGAACGCGUAUCAAUUUUUUGAGUUAAAAAUGAGCAAUAAUGCCGUAUUUGUGGAAUUUAGCCACUUCGCCAGUUCCUUGGCAUCUUCCUUUCAAAUUCUCCCAUGGCGUUUAAUUUUACACCAGUAACCACUUUGAGAUAGAACCAAUCCUUUUAAUAUUUCUUGGAGCAAAAAACAAUACCUCUGGGUGCUACAGAGAGAAGGAGAUAUGCUGGACGUCCACCUCCGACUGUUUUGUGAGAGGUUGAAAAGGGUGUUAGCAGGUGAAGAAGGCACGUUGCCGCUGCCAGAUUCAACAAAUUUAACUCCACUUUUUCAAAACCUUCUUACGGAGUCCGAAAUUAUUGCUACUACUCUUCUGGGAAACUAUGAAGCUGACAUGGCUCGGCAUUUGUUUCAACUCAUUAGAGAAGAAUUCGAGGACUCCAAAAUAUCUUUGGCUUUAUCGCAACUGUUGGACUUAGAAGAAAGCGAUGAAGACGUUAAAAGACCAGAUAUUUUGGAAAUUCUGGAGGACAUCAAUCACUUUGUCCAUGAAUCUGAGGAAGCCAUUGACACAUUCUUCACCAACAUCAUGCAGCAGCCAAACAGUGAAAACGAAAGUGAAAGCAGUACUAAUAUGGCUCUUCUUGUUGGACUCCACACUAAAAUCAUUGAUAUUAGAAGUCGGAUGCAACAACUUCCACCCGGCGACAAUGGUUUUGAUAUCAGUGAAAAAAGUAACGAAAUCAUUCGCCUAUUGAAUGAGGGACAACCUCGGCUCGAUAUCAAUGAAUUUGAAAGGGGCAGAGAGAAGUUGUUUGAUCUAUUGAUUGAGGGACCAUCUGGGCUUGCAGUGGUUGCAAUUCUCGACAGCAGUGGCUUCGAUAGGACUGCUUUUGCUGCAGAUACUUACAACAAUAAUCAUGUCAAGUUCUAUUUUGACUGUCUUGCUUGGGUCAGGGUUUCUGCAUUCUACGAUUUGGGCAAGCUAUUGGAUGACAUAAUCAAGUCUGUGAUGCCUCCAUCUCGGGUUAGUGUAAUUAUCGGUGAAGAUUAUCAAUUGAAGAAAUCUAUUCUUCGAGAUUUCCUAACAAACAAGAAGUACUUCAUUGUGCUUGAUGAUGUCUGCUACAACAUUGACAUAUGGGAUAAUCUUGAAGAAGUUCUUCCUGAUAAUCAGAAUGGAAGCAGAGUAUUGAUAACAGUCACUGAUCCAGAGCUCCUUGCGUCGCUUGAAAUGGAAAAUGGAGAGGAGAUUCGGCUUGAUUCGGUGCUCUUUGGAGGACCAUUGAUCAGAUUAAAGCAUGAAGCCUGGCAAUUUUUCAUCCUACACUAUGGAAGUAUGCCAUUAGAAAAUUAUGUUCAAGGCGAAAUGAUUCCGACAAUUUUGAGUCGAAUUUUUUCUGUGAUGGAGUUACCUUUUCACUUGAAAGUCUGCUGCAUCUAUUUGUGUGUCUUCCCUCCAGGCAUUGAGAUAUCCACGAGGCAAUUAUAUCAUUUGUGGGUAGCUGAAGGUUUCAUACCAUACAACAGUGAAGAAACUGCCGAACAUUACUUGAAAGAACUAAUCCAUCGCGGCUUCAUUCAAGUGAGUAAGAGAAGAGCCGGAGGCACAAUUAAAGCGUGUUAUGUUCCAAUUCUUGUAUAUACUCCAUUGUUAUUGUUGGCAGAGAAGACGGGAUUUGUCUGGAUGCCUGACAUGGAAGAGGAUUCACUGGCAAAUGCUAAACGGUGCAUCAUUGUGGAACGUCUGAUUGAGUUCUUUCCUUUAGAAUAUUCUGACAUGCGUCUCCAAUCUUUUCUGAAUCACAGUUCAGCAAGCGAUCGUCUCGCUCUGAUAGAUUGCGAGAAUUUUUGUAAAAAGUUCAAACACCUUCGGGUAUUGAACAUGGGUUCUGCAGUCCUGGACCAAUAUCCACCCGGAUUAGAAAAUUUAUAUCUUUUGAAGUAUUUGAAAUUGAAUAUCCCUUCGCGCAAAUGCCUUCCUUCACUGCUAUGCACCCUUUUAAACCUUGAAACACUAGAAAUGCCAUCUAGCUACAUAGAUCAGUCGCCAGAGGAUAUUUGGAUGAUGCAAAAACUCAGGCAUCUAAACUUUGGUUCUAUCACUCUGCCCGCACCUCCAAAAAAUUAUUCUAGCUCUCUGAAAAAUCUCAUUUUCAUAUCAGCUUUAAACCCUAGUAGUUGUACUCCUGAUAUAUUGGGCAGACUACCUAGUGUUCAGACUCUUCGGAUAUCUGGAGAUUUGAGUUACUAUCAAUCUGGGGUUUCCAAAAGCCUUUGCGAACUCCACAAACUUGAAUGCUUGAAGCUGGUGAAUGAGAGCAAGCCCUCACGGAUGGUCCUGUCUGAAUACCAAUUUCCCCCAAGUCUGAUCCAACUGAGCUUAUCAAAUACUGAGCUAAUGGAGGAUCCCAUGCCAAUUCUGGAAAAUCUUCCACGCCUUCGAAUGCUGAAACUGAAGCAGAACUCGUAUUUAGGAAGAAAGCUUGCUUGUGUUGGCUUGAGUAGCUUUCCCGAACUUAAGGUUUUGCACCUGAAAUCAAUGUAUUGGCUAGAUGAGUGGACGAUGGGGGCUGGAGCAAUGCCGAAACUUGAAAGCUUAAUUGUCAACCCAUGUGCUUACUUGAGAAAGCUUCCAGAAGAGCUGUGGUGCAUAAAGAGCUUGCGCAAAUUGAAUUUACAUUGGCCUCAGACAGAGUUGAGACAAACACUACGGACUUUCAAGGAUAUGGAGUGGCGGUAU
This 9201-nucleotide long non-coding RNA is filed under the name Citrus sinensis (sweet orange). RNAcentral describes it as "long non-coding RNA (CSIN_LNC001143)". Lineage: Eukaryota; Viridiplantae; Streptophyta; Magnoliopsida; Sapindales; Rutaceae. The record is from RNAcentral.